RNAcentral lists this long non-coding RNA (5694 nucleotides) under Patiria miniata (bat star). Its description in RNAcentral is "uncharacterized LOC119722057, transcript variant X9". The record is from RNAcentral. Lineage: Eukaryota; Metazoa; Echinodermata; Asteroidea; Valvatida; Asterinidae.
GUUGUUGGUUGUUUGUAUAGAUGAGCUCAACAAGGCACCGAAGGGCAGGCUAGAAUAUACGAGAAGCGGCAAGCAUGCCUUUUUUGUGGCAGUAUGGUUUCCAAGGCAGCCAGGCACAUGAAAGAUAUGCACGCUGAUGAGUCUGAGGUGAAACAUGCCAAGGCCAAGGAGCCCAAGUCAACUAACAGGCGACCUACUGUUGAAUUUGAGAGGCUCCGUUUGAAAGGGAAUUUCUACCAUAAAUAUGGAGGUGCUGUCAUCUGGUGUGGGUCAGAUCAUCGUUGCCAGAAAUCCUCCCUUCGGUCAAGAGGUCCAAUCUUCAGAUAACCUGCCAUGCCCAUUUUGCAUGUUCUGUCGGCAAUGGUCCAUCAUCAGAUAUCCAUGGUGACUCGACCUGGUACAGAUAAGGGGAAAGAGAGGUCGCGCAGUGCCUGUGCUUCUGACCAGUGGAAGUCUUGAUGGAAAACCGUGAAGCAGUUGGGGCGCAUAAUUCGAAUCCCUAUAUAUUUGCUCGCACCCGAAACUCCUUGAAACAAGUGAGAGGAUGGGAUUGCCUAACUGCUGUUGCCAAGCAGGCUAAUCUGCAAGAGCCUCCUGCAGAAACGAGCACAAAGCUGAGAAAGUAUGUUGCAACGGUGUCUCAGAUUAUUAGACCUAAACAGCAAUGCGCUCGACUGGCUAGCAAGGCACCUGUGCCACGACAUAACUGUCCACAGGGACUUCUACCGCCAACACGAGUCGACACUAGAGCUUGCGAAAGUCAGCAAGCUACUUCUUGCUGUAGACAAAGGCAAGAUAGCAAAACUGUCUGGCCGAAAACUUGAUGAUAUUGAUUUGGAAGGUGUUUUGGCUGAUGAAUCAUCAAGUGAAGAGGAGGAUGCAGAUGUUUGCAAAGACCCGUCAUCAGGUGGCAGGAAGCUGGGCACUCAGCAGAUCCUUGUGCUUAUUCAAAUAGCCCCUUCAUGAAUGUGACGUUACCGCAAGACAGGUGCAGUGCGCAAAUUCCUUGCGCGCUUUGUCACGUAACUCUUUGUGACGCCAUUUCUUAUAAACGCCAAGUUGCCUAUUCAACUUCAUUCUCGGUUGAGCAACCUUAUCUCGCUGACAUACGCAUUUUGUUCUCCGUGCAAUAUGAAUCCUAACCUGAUAAUGCAAAUCAAGAGAUACUAUCGGCCAUCAGAUCGUUGGCUAACUCGAUAGACAGUAAAGUAGAUUCAGCCUUUAAGAGGCAGCGUACCCUUGCCGACAGUCCACCAGACUUUAAAAGCGACGGUAACAAGGACCAGUUUCGCCACGAAGAAAAGCUCUCCAGCCUAAUUGACUCGGCCUUAGCAUCGUUAGACGCCGGAGACGUCAACGCAGCCAGAGAGGCCCUCAAGCAAGCCAGCACAGAAAUCAAACAGCGGCAGAAGCUGAUCAGGUUGGCCGAUCGUUCUUCCCAAGGUUGGGCCACGGUUAAAGAAUACGUCACCGACAAUUAAGCCGACGACUCGGACGAUGAGAAACGACUUAGAAAGGCGGAGAAAAUGGCGACCAGCAAGAAAUCAGAAGCCGCUAAGAAGUCCAAGGCCAAGGCUCGCAAUCCUGUACGUCCUUACCCUGCUGCGAGUUCUUUUCGUACCUACAGCCGGUACACAUAUCGUCAAGAUUUCCGGUCCUGUUUCCAGUGCGGAAUCGCAGGACAUAUCCGAUCCAACUGCCCCUCUCUUCGGGCCCUCCAACAGCCUCAGCGCCGGUCACAACCUUCAGCCACUGAUACCACCACAGCAUAGGGACUGGGAAGAGCAGGUCUCAACUACUCCUGUCCCAUCCGGUGUAAAGGGUGUUUUGGCUGAUGAAUCAUCAAGUGAAGAGGAGGAUGCAGAUAUUGCAAAGACCCGUCAUCAGGUGGCAGGAAGCUGGGCGCCCAGCAGUGCGUCUGAAAAUACGUAAGCCAUGGACAGGAGAAGAGAAACAGGCGAUCUACCAGCACCUCGGGGGACACAUACGGAAAAAUCAACUGCCAGAUGAGCUCAACAAGGCACCGAAGGGCAGGCUAGAAUAUACGAGAAGCGGCAAGCAUGCCUUUUUUGUGGCAGUAUGGUUUCCAAGGCAGCCAGGCACAUGAAAGAUAUGCACGCUGAUGAGUCUGAGGUAAAACAUGCCAAGGCCAAGGAGCCCAAGUCAACUAACAGGCGACCUACUGUUGAAUUUGAGAGGCUCCGUUUGAAAGGGAAUUUCUACCAUAAUAUGGAGGUGCUGUCAACUGGUGUGGGUCAGAUCAUCGUUGCCAGAAAUCCUCCCUUCGGUCAAGAGGUCCAAUCUUCAGAUAACCUGCCAUGCCCAUUUUGCAUGUUCCGUCGGCAAUGGUCCAUCAUCAGAUAUCCAUGGUGACUCGACCUGGUACAGAUAAGGGGAAAGAGAGGUCGCGCAGUGCCUGUGCUUCUGACCAGUGGAAGUCUUGAUGGAAAACCGUGAAGCAGUUGGGGCGCAUAAUGCGAAUCCCUAUAUAUUUGCUCGCCCCCGAAACUCCUUGAAACAAGUGAGAGGAUGGGAUUGCCUAACUGCUGUUGCCAAGCAGGCUAAUCUGCAAGAGCCUCCUGCAGAAACGAGCACAAAGCUGAGAAAGUAUGUUGCAACGGUGUCUCAGAUUAUAGACCUAAACAGCAAUGCGCUCGACUGGCUAGCAAGGCACCUGUGCCACGACAUAACUGUCCACAGGGACUUCUACCGCCAACACGAGUCGACACUAGAGCUUGCGAAAGUCAGCAAGCUACUUCUUGCUGAAGACAAAGGCAAGAUAGCAAAACUGUCUGGCCGAAAACUUGAUGAUAUUGAUUUGGAAGGUGUUUUGGCUGAUGAAUCAUCAAGUGAAGAGGAGGAUGCAGAUGUUUGCAAAGACCCGUCAUCAGGUGGCAGGAAGCUGGGCACCCAGCAGAUCCUUGUGCUUAUUCAAAUAGCCCCUUCAUGAAUGUGACGUUACCGCAAGACAGGUGCAGUGCGCAAAUUCCUUGCGCGCUUUGUCACGUAACUCUUUGUGACGCCAUUUCUUAUAAACGCCAAGUUGCCUAUUCAACUUCAUUCUCGGUUGAGCAACCUUAUCUCGCUGACAUACGCAUUUUGUUCGUGCAAUAUGAAUCCUAACCUGAUAAUGCAAAUCAAGAGAUACCUAUCGGCCAUCAGAUCGUUGGCUAACUCGAUAGACAGUAAAGUAGAUUCAGCCUUUAAGAGGCAGCGUACCCUUGCUGGCAGUCCACCAGACUUUAAAAGCGACGGUAACAAGGACCAGUUUCGCCACGAAGAAAAGCUCUCCAGCCUAAUUGACUCGGCCUUAGCAUCGUUAGACGCCGGAGACGUCAACGCAGCCAGAGAGGCCCUCAAGCAAGCCAGCACAGAAAUCAAACAGCGGCAGAAGCUGAUCAGGUUGGCCGAUCGUUCUUCCCAAGGUUGGGCCACGGUUAAAGAAUACGUCACCGACAAUUAAGCCGACGACUCGGACGAUGAGAAACGACUCAGAAAGGCGGAGAAAAUGGCGACCAGCAAGAAAUCAGAAGCCGCUAAGAAGUCCAAGGCCAAGGCUCGCAAUCCUGUACGUCCUUACCCUGCUGCGAGUUCUUUUCGUACCUACAGCCGGUACACAUAUCGUCAAGAUUUCCGGUCCUGUUUCCAGUGCGGAAUCGCAGGACAUAUCCGAUCCAACUGCCCCUCUCUUCGGGCCCUCCGACAGCCUCAGCGCCGGUCACAACCUUCAGCCACUGAUACCACCACAGCAUAGGGACUGGGAAGAGCAGGACUCAACUACUCCUGUCCCAUCCGGUGUAAAGGAUGUUUGCAAAGACCCGUCAUCAGGUGGCAGGAAGUCGCGGCCCCAGCAGUGCGUCUGAAAAUACGUAAGCCAUGGACAGGAGAAGAGAAACAGGCGAUCUACCAGCACCUCGGGGGACACAUACGGAAAAAUCAACUGCCAGGUAAAGCAGUCUGCGAAAGUGUGAUAGCAGCACAUCCCCGAACAUCCCCGAGAUUUUUUUUUUAAUUUUUUUUUUUAUACACUUUCCAAUGGCCUCCUGUGAAUGUGAUAAAAUCUGAUGCCCCAGUAUGAGUUUUCUUUUACUUUGUGGAUCAUUCAUAAGAGAAGAAUGAGUAGUUACUGGUCUUUUUAAGUCUCCAGUUGGAGGUUUAGUGAUUUGUGACAAGAAACUUGAUAGGUUUAUGCUUUUUCGAUCAGUCUUAAGAGAGGAAUUUUUUAAGUAGUGCCUGAUCUCUCUUAGUCUGCAGAUGGAGAUUUAUGUAGGUGCGACAACUCCGAUACCCCCAGAACAUGAGUUUUCUUUUACUUUUGGAUCAUUCAUAAGAGAAGAACAAGUAGUAUGGUCUAUCUAAUUCUGUGAUUGGUUUAUUGGAAGUAGCUAACUGCCUUGUCCCUACAUUUAAGUCUAUAGUUGAAGUUUCAACUAAUAUCUGAUAGCCAGGAAUGUGAUAUCUUUUUUGGGACCUUUUGAUCACUCAUCAUAAGAGAAGAACCUGAGGAGUAGCUAAUGGCCUGCUGAGUCUGCUCUUGAAGGUUAUUAUUGAUUAAUGACAGAAAUCUUGAAUGCCCAGAACUUGAUUUGCUUUUUGACUGUUUGGAUCAAUCAUAAGAGAGUAGUGCUUCUUGUUCCCUCUAAUUCUUCGGUUUGAGAUUAAGUGAUGUGUGAUCUAUCUGAUUCCCCAGAACAUGAGUUUUCAUAAAAGAAAAAUAUUCCGCUUGGAAGUCUUUUGAUUUGUGACAUGUUUUGAUGGCCCAGAACUUGAAUUUGUCAUUUCUUUUAUAUCAUAAAUACGAGAAGAAACGUAUUGUUAGGUAACAGUUUUGUCUCUACAUGUAAGUUUAUUGUUCUAUAGUUGGCGUUCAACUGAUAGCUUAGAAAUCUGAUAGCCAGGGACAUGAUUGGUUUUGGACUUUUUGGAUCAAUCUUAGGAGAACCGUAUGAGUAGCUAAUAACCUGUUAAGUAUGUAGUUGGAGGUUUAGUGAAUUGUGAUACAAAUUUUAAUAACCCAGAGCUUGAUUUGCUUUGUGCCUGUUUCAACCAAUCAUAAGAGAGGAAUCUUAUGAGUAGUGCCUGGUGUUCUAAGACUGCAGUUGGAGAUUUAGUGAUGUGUGACAAAUAUCCUGAUACAUAAUAGCCAAGAACAUGAUUCACUUACACUUUAUCAAUCACAAGAGAAGAAUGAGUAGUUGUUGUCAUUUUCUCCAAGUAAUUUGGGUGAUAUGUGAAAGAUCUCAUUAUAGCCCAAAACUUGAUUUCUUUCUUUUUUGCAGUACUCGGACGUAUUUGAGUAGGGCUGUGAAAUUGUUUGAGAUAUUUGUUAAUAACUAUUGUUGCAGAUUUUUCUUUGAAUUGCUCAUAAACGAAAUAUCUUCAAUUUAACGCCUGGUUCAUUCGAUUUAGGUUGAAAUUGAAGAUCACGCAGAUCGGCAUUCGACAAUCAAAAUGAUUCAUUCUAUUUCACUAUACAAGCAUUCUAACGCAUUUUAGCUUCACUCGUCCCUAUCAAAGAUGCAUUCAUAUUAAAAGUAUCGAGUUGUUCAUUCAAUUCAAGAUGAUCGGGCAUUCGUUUUCAUUAAUGGGCAAAUAUAUUUCACAUUUUGUCAAACAUCUUUUAAGACUUCAUACGUGUCUGUAUUCCUAAGCUUAAAUCAUUUGAUGACUUCAAACCGUAGACUGACUUUCUUU